GAACGGUGAAGGAGGGCUUGCCCUCCGGAUCAGUGGCGAACGGGUGAGUAACACGUGGGCAACCUGCCCCUCACUCUGGGAUAACGCCGGGAAACCGGCGCUAAUACCGGAUACGACCAGAAGCGACAUCUCUUCUGGUGGAAAGAAUUUCGGUGAGGGAUGGGCCCGCGGCCUAUCAGCUAGUUGGUGGGGUAAUGGCCCACCAAGGCGACGACGGGUAGCCGGCCUGAGAGGGCGACCGGCCACACUGGGACUGAGACACGGCCCAGACUCCUACGGGAGGCAGCAGUGGGGAAUAUUGCGCAAUGGGCGAAAGCCUGACGCAGCGACGCAGCGUGAGGGACGAAGGCCUUCGGGUUGUAAACCUCUUUCAGCGGGGACGAAGCGAAAGUGACGGUACCCGCAGAAGAAGCACCGGCUAACUACGUGCCAGCAGCCGCGGUAAUACGUAGGGUGCAAGCAUUGUCCGGAUUUAUUGGGCGUAAAGAGCUCGUAGGCGGCUUGUCACGUCGGAUGUGAAAACUCGGGGCUCAACCCCGAGCCUGCAUUCGAUACGGGCUAGCUAGAGUGUUGCAGGGGAGACUGGAAUUCCUGGUGUAGCGGUGAAAUGCGCAGAUAUCAGGAGGAACACCGGUGGCGAAGGCGGGUCUCUGGGCAACUACUGACGCUGAGGAGCGAAAGCGUGGGGAGCGAACA
This 696-nucleotide ribosomal RNA is filed under the name uncultured Actinomycetes bacterium. RNAcentral describes it as "bacterial SSU rRNA". It matches the Rfam family "Bacterial small subunit ribosomal RNA", at positions 64 to 774 of the family's 1533-position model. The record is from RNAcentral. Lineage: Bacteria; Bacillati; Actinomycetota; Actinomycetes.